Molecule: ribosomal RNA, 490 nt
Filed under: uncultured bacterium
Lineage: Bacteria
Description: partial 16S ribosomal RNA
Rfam family: Bacterial small subunit ribosomal RNA
Source: RNAcentral
GGGGAAUAUUGCACAAUGGGCGAAAGCCUGAUGCAGCAACGCCGCGUGAGUGAUGAAGGUCUUCGGAUUGUAAAGCUCUGUCUUUUGGGACGAUAAUGACGGUACCAAAGGAGGAAGCCACGGCUAACUACGUGCCAGCAGCCGCGGUAAUACGUAGGUGGCGAGCGUUGUCCGGAUUUACUGGGCGUAAAGGGUGCGUAGGCGGAUGUUUAAGUGAGAUGUGAAAUACCCGGGCUUAACUUGGGUGCUGCAUUUCAAACUGGAUAUCUAGAGUGCAGGAGAGGAGAAUGGAAUUCCUAGUGUAGCGGUGAAAUGCGUAGAGAUUAGGAAGAACACCAGUGGCGAAGGCGAUUCUCUGGACUGUAACUGACGCUGAGGCACGAAAGCGUGGGUAGCAAACAGGAUUAGAUACCCUGGUAGUCCACGCCGUAAAACGAUGAGUACUAGGUGUAGGAGGUAUCGACCCCUUCUGUGCCGCAGUAAAACACAU